RNAcentral lists this transfer RNA (66 nucleotides) under Bemisia afer. RNAcentral's name for it is "tRNA-His". The record is from RNAcentral. Lineage: Eukaryota; Metazoa; Arthropoda; Insecta; Hemiptera; Aleyrodidae.
AUUUAGGUAGUUUAGUUAUAAAAUUUUAAUCUGUGGCAUUAAAGUCAACCCCGCCGUUCCUAAAUU